RNAcentral lists this long non-coding RNA (201 nucleotides) under Gossypium barbadense (sea-island cotton). RNAcentral's name for it is "long non-coding RNA (GBAR_LNC002286)". Lineage: Eukaryota; Viridiplantae; Streptophyta; Magnoliopsida; Malvales; Malvaceae. The record is from RNAcentral.
GGUAGAAAUGGCUAGAACGUGCUUCGAGGAUCUCAAAAAUAUAAAAAAAAUCAAAAACGGGGCUAGGGAGCACUUACAAUCAAGCUUGAAAUGUUGAAAACCCUAGCUAUGGAGCCUCUUGAAUUUUUGGCACACCAUGUAGGAGAUGGACAACAUUUUUACUUGAUGUUUUCGUUUUUAUUCUUUAAAUAACAAAAUGAC